UACAGAGGUCCCGAGCGUUGUUCGGAUUCACUGGGCGUAAAGGGUGCGUAGGCUGCCUGCCAAGUCUGCUGUGAAAGCGCCUGGCUUAACCGGGCGAGGUCGGUGGAAACUGGCGGGCUGGAGGACGGUAGAGGGGGGUGGAAUUCCCGGUGUAGUGGUGAAAUGCGUAGAUAUCUGGAGGAACACCGGUGGUGGAGGCGGCAUCCUGGACCGGCAUUGACGCUGAGGCGCGAAAGCCAGGGGAGCAAACGGG
Molecule: ribosomal RNA, 253 nt
Filed under: uncultured prokaryote
Description: partial 16S ribosomal RNA
Rfam family: Bacterial small subunit ribosomal RNA
Source: RNAcentral